CACAGGGUGUGUUGAGGGGGGGGGGGGGGUUGGCCUGAUUCAUGAUAUAGAGGCUAAUGCACAUUCGGCAAUCCUUUUCCCUCACGUGUUCUGUACAAUCAUUCUAAAACCUAUCUCUUUAACUAUGAAACCUUAAUUCCAUUCCUUUAUUUAUGCCCCUAAUGUGUGUAACGAUGGAUGAGCGGAUGUAGAUGAUGGCAUGCAAUGGUGAAGUGGUGGUGAGGAUUCAGCAGUGACUAGGGAUUCGGUCUCAGCUAUGGACGGUUGUGGUGCUAUUACCCGACGGCAAGGAAUAUUGAUGACGUGGACGAGAUAAAUGAGCAAACUGAAAACAUGAAACUGGUUCAGUACGCACUCACAACACCCAUUGGUGCAUCUGCUGAUUUUGAUGAG
Long non-coding RNA from Helianthus annuus (common sunflower), 393 nucleotides. RefSeq lists it as uncharacterized. The record is from RefSeq and is a predicted model, not a curated record. The transcript has 2 exons. NCBI's taxonomy places the organism in Eukaryota, Viridiplantae, Streptophyta, Magnoliopsida, Asterales, Asteraceae.